UUUCCGUAGGUGAACCUGCGGAAGGAUCAUUAUCGUGAUAUCCAUACCAACCCUUGUGAACUGUGAUGUUGUGGCUUGUUGGCACGUCUCUUUCGAGUGUGUCGGCGGUCGCAUGUCCAUUCUAUUCUACACCCGUUUGAACCGCUUCUGAGCACCGCGAUAGUUUGCACACCCUGUGUGUGCGAGUGUAUUGCGUCUUGAAAGCGACUAAAACUCUUGACAGUGGAUAUCUUGGCUCUC
Molecule: unclassified non-coding RNA, 240 nt
Filed under: root metagenome
Description: partial contains small subunit ribosomal RNA, internal transcribed spacer 1, and 5.8S ribosomal RNA
Source: RNAcentral